RNAcentral lists this unclassified non-coding RNA (2539 nucleotides) under Schistocerca americana (American grasshopper). RNAcentral describes it as "d-aspartate oxidase, transcript variant X7". The record is from RNAcentral. Lineage: Eukaryota; Metazoa; Arthropoda; Insecta; Orthoptera; Acrididae.
UUGUAAUGUUUCUAGCAAUGGCGAUGUCAGUGUAUCUGUGUUUGAGGGUGGUGAAGUUACGUUGUGAAGUGCCUCCUAAAUAAUAGUGUGUGAUAAACGUCUCCAGGUGUAGUAAAUGAAGUCCAGUAUGCUAUUUAACCAUACGAUCAUUGUGUUCAUUGCGUCAGAGGGAAUAUCUAGGGUUUUGUUGUCACCGGCCGCCAUGCUCAAACAAUAACGAUCGUAGUUUGAGGGAUGUGUGUCAAAUAUUUGUAUGUUUAAAUUUGAGAAACAUAAGUUGCGUUGCCAUGAAUUCGAAAACUGAUGUGAAUCGGAGAGUAUUUGCUAUUAAAGCUAAAAAGAAACGCCCGAAACCUGGUAAAAGAAAAGGAAAAAAUGAAAGAGAUGGAAGAGCAUACUCAAAUAAAGUAGAACCAUCUCAUUCGUCUUCAAACGAAACUAUAGAAGAUGAAGAUGAUUAUUUCAGCUCCGACGAUGAUGAGCAGGAGGAUCCUGCAGAUUAUUGCAAAGGUGGUUACCAUCCAGUCAAAAUAGGUGAUUUGUUUAACGGAAGAUAUCGUGUCACACGAAAGUUAGGUUGGGGUCAUUUUUCAACUGUAUGGCUUUGUUGGGAUCUGUAUGACAAGAAAUUUGUGGCACUGAAAGUUGUGAAGAGUGCUUCACAUUUCACGGAGACUGCCUUAGAUGAAAUAAAACUGUUGAAAGUCGUGCGGGAAAGUGAUGUUAACGAUCAUAAACGAAACAAAACAGUACAACUCUUGGACGAUUUUAAAAUAAGCGGUGUUAAUGGAACACACGUGUGUAUGGUAUUCGAAGUUCUUGGUCAUAAUUUGUUAAAAUUAAUCAUCAGAAGUAACUACCAUGGCAUUCCAACAGAGAAUGUAAAAUCUAUUAUUCGACAAGUAUUAGAAGGUUUGGACUACUUACAUACCAAAUGUAAAAUUAUUCAUACUGAUAUAAAACCUGAAAACGUUUUGGUAUGUGUAGACGAAAAUUAUAUUAGGAGACUUGCCUGCGAGGCUACAGAACUUCAUACAAUGGGCCUUAAACUGCCUGUAUCAUUAGUCAGCACUGCACCAAGGGAGGAACCGGAUCCAAAUGUAAAAAUGUCAAAAAAUAAGAAGAAGAAAUUAAAAAAGAAAGCAAAGCGCCAGACUGAACUGCUGAGAAAGCAAAUGGAACAGAUCGAAGAGACUGAAGAACAGAAGAGGAGAGAGAUGGCACUGGAAUUGGAGUGCCAGUCACCAGAAGAUAAUAGAGAAUCUGCUGAAACUCAGUCUGAGGUGUUUGAUGAGGUGCAUGAUGAAGAUGAUGAUGAUGCCAGCUCAAAGGUAAUAGACACUGCAUAUCAAAAUGGGAUAGAUAAAAAAGAACACAGCAAGUCAAUGGGAGACGGUGCUGCAGAAGAGACCUCAAGUUCUGAUUCUCAGAAGCUGUGUAACUCAGAAAAAUGUGAUGAAGGAGCUGGUGAGAGUGGAACAUGUCCUGUUAAUAAAACAACAAGAAAGAAAGAAACAAAAUCUGUUACUGGAAGACCAUCCCGCCAAUCUUCUGGAUAUACAUCAUUUAGUCAUGAUGCAAAACCUGAACUGGACCCAGCAUUUGUGGUGUGUGAUAUUGAAGUAAAAAUAGCAGAUUUAGGAAAUGCUUGCUGGACUUACCGUCAUUUCACAGAGGACAUACAAACACGCCAGUAUCGUUCAUUGGAGGUCCUUCUGGGAGCUGGAUAUGGCACGUCUGCAGAUAUCUGGAGCACAGCAUGCAUGGCAUUUGAACUUGCUACAGGGGAUUAUCUCUUUGAGCCACAUUCAGGGGAAGACUAUUCUCGUGAUGAAGAUCAUUUGGCUCAUAUUAUUGAACUUUUGGGUGAAAUACCUCGAAGGAUAGCUAUGUCUGGCAAACAUUCCCGCCAGUUCUUUAAUAAAAAAUGUGAUUUGCGCCGAAUCUCAGGUUUGAAGCCGUGGGGACUUUUUGAAGUCUUAACUGAAAAAUACGAUUGGGACCCAAAGGAAGCAAGAGAAUUCACAGCUUUUCUUCGCCCUAUGCUGGACUUUGAUCCAGAACGUCGUGCAACUGCUGCAGAAUGCUUGAAACAUCCCUGGCUAAAUUAGUUUAACUCUCCGAUUCGUUAGACAUAUAGCUCCAAAGACAAUCUUAAAAAUGUUUAGUGAUGACAUAGUAGCUAAUUUAAAACUUGACUGGAUCUUUUCACCUUGAUAUUAAUUUCAGCAAUUUUACUCUUUUGUGUUUCCUUCUGUAAAUUUACAAGUAUACAGAAAAGCAAAUACCUUCACCUUUUUUAUGUAUAUUUAAUAAUUCUUUCGAAGUGUUGUGUUUUUAAAUGUGUGCAAGUGAUGCUGAAUACCUGUGCAGAAAGUUUAUACUUCAUUAGACAUUUUGGAAGUACCGGUAUGCAUUGUGAACUUGAGUUUUUCCAAGCUUACCUUAGAACUGGAAAGAAAGCGAUCGCCCAUUAACAUCUUUUAGAUAUUGUGCCCAUUUCCAAUAGUAACCAGCAUGCUCCAUUGCACUGAUUGGG